This is a long non-coding RNA of Miniopterus natalensis, 2761 nucleotides long. RefSeq lists it as uncharacterized. The record is from RefSeq and is a predicted model, not a curated record. Lineage: Eukaryota; Metazoa; Chordata; Mammalia; Chiroptera; Miniopteridae.
ACGAGGUCCCUGUGUGGCCCCUCAUCCACAGCAUUCCAGCUCCAGGAGUACUCGGAGCCCCACAAGGUGAAGCCUGCACAGGUAGGUAAAAGCCUGGGUAAGUAUGUGCGUUUUAUCUUAGGUAAACCUCUACCCAAACGCCAAAACAAAUCUGAUCGUGCACGUGAUGUAUAAAUAACUGCUUCUACCAACAGCCCUGAUGGCAGUUUUUUUCAUGGUAUAUCUUCUGCCUUUAUACAAGCAACAAACGAGAAUUUAAGCAAGGUAAGCUGAAGUUUUUAAAAGUAACUCUCAGGGUACUGACAAGGUCUGCAUAGUCUGAUCUGUCUUCUGUAUUUUCUCUUAGAAUAUAAGUUCCCUGAGAAACAGCUGGGUUCAUGUCUGCUGUGUUCCCUGUUACAGCCCCUGCCAACUGCAAGCACUGGGCCUACCAGGAAAUCAGCAUUCAACAUUAGGAAGGCGGUCACAGCUAAGAUUAAAGUCGAGUCCCUGGUUUUAGGAUUAUUUAUUUCAUGAUAGUGUGAUUCUUAGAACACUGGCAAUCCAUGUAUGGCAGUACAUCUCUUUUAGCCUCAUAAUUCAUUUAAUGAAGAGGCGGGGUUGGGUAAGACCUUAGUUUGUACUUGAAAAUACUAUACCCACCAUUUGUAAUCUCAUCCUGUUACAUAUAGUUGUAUGCUUAGACGUUGCUUCUUAAAUUACCUAAAAGUGAUAUUCUCUACCAACUAAGUGGGUAAGAAAAAUAAUGUCUACCUUUAAGCAAGCACUUUGAAAUAGAAUUCAUAGUUUUAAAGGAAUUUGCAAACAAACUGCUGGGUGUUCUAUCUAAAAAGUAUCAGAAGCGACAUAUAAACUGAAUUACUUAAGAAAUCAUAUAAAAUCUGAACAUUUUUAGUGAGUGCCUAGUAACAUAGGUACACUGUUACUAUCCCACUCACAUGAGGCACUUUGGUGAAACACUUAACGUCUUGUAAAUUAGGACAAGUCUAAGAUGGACUCUUUAGUUUCAUUUUUAAGAAGCUUUUAAAAGAGCUCACACUUGUUCCAAAGAUGUUUGUGGUAAGCUUCAAAGCAGUGUGGAUAUUUUAGAGUCUGAUUCAAAAUGUUUCAACUUGACAAGCCCCAAGGUCAGGCAGUGCUAAGACCACAUGGGUCUUCAGUUCAGGUCUUCCUGCCCAACCAAGCUCAGCAGGGUGUCUUCCAUUAGCAAUGAAAAUAUCUGACAACAUGGGUCCGAGAAAGUUUAUAAAUGUGAGCUUCAUUCUCUGUCCUCACAGUAUGAUUAAGAGUUGUUCUGUUUGUUUUUUAAUAAGCUCACUAUGUAAUACUUUGUGCCAUACAGCUUGGAGAAGUUCCUAGAGCAAGGAAAUCAACACGUUCACAAACAAAUACACUUCAUAAAUAUUCAUCUAAGCAGGAGAAACAUCUAUAGGAAAAAAAUCAUAAAACCACUAGAAUGUGGCCAAAGAGGAAAAUAUUCUAAGAUUAUUCCAGAUUUGUGGUUUGGUUCUUCCCUCCUACUCUGCUCCCCACCCCUGAAAAAAGUAAUGAGGCAAAAUUUCUUAUACCAAGGCAAAGAUGAUCUUGCAAAGGAAAUUGUCAAAUGAAUUAACAUGAAGUUGGGACAAUAACAAUUUACUGAUGCUUCCUUGAUCUUAUAAAUACUCGAAUGGCAAUGGGUGGAAACGACCUUAUUAAUGUAGGACCCACAGUGAUGGUUAACUUUUUGUGUCAACUUGACUGGGCCACAGGGUACCCAGAUAUUUGGUUCAACAUUAUUCUUGGUAUGUCUAGGAGGGUAUUUCUGCAUAAGAUUAACAUUUGAAUAGAUUGCCUGAGUAAAGCAGAUUGCCCUCCCCAGUGUGGUGGGUCUCAUGCAGUCUGUUUAAGGCCUAAAUAGAAUAAAAAGCUGAGUUAGAAAGAAUUCUUCCUCUCUGCUUGUCUUUCAGCUAAGACAUUGGUCUUCCCCACCUUUGAACCGAGACCUGGAUUAGAACCUACAUCAUUAACUCUCCUGGUUCUCAGGCCUUCAGACUCGGACUGGAACUAUACCAUUGGCUCUCACGGGUCUGGACCACUCAGCCUCCGUAACUGUGAUUACAUUUAUCUUGAAGAACUUAACACCUGAAGUAUUCAAUCGGGAAAGAAAGAACCUUUUUUUAAAAGUUGCUAGAGGCACACAUGGUAACACCGGAGAGCCAGUGCAUGCGCAAGCGAACAGACGUCUCCCACACCGAUGAGUUCAUGCUGUGACCACGCUUCAUGGCGCAACGACUGAAAACGAGCUGGCAGCAGAUGGGCAUCGAGUCUCCGGCGACGAGUUAGGCUCGAGCGUCCGCGCUCAUCUGACCCCAGCCAGGCGGGUGCGUUUCUGCCAGCUUGGUGGAGUCCCCGUUACGCUGAAGUGUGAGAAAUACAAGUCGGUGACUGCAACUCUGCAGAAGCUGAGAACUCAGGGCCACCUCUCGUGUCUGACAAUAACUGUAGUCACGCGGAGGAAAGAGCCGAUGCUCUCCCAGGACGAAAGCUUACACAGUGAACCACGCACUUAACCCCCGGGCCUUCCAGCCCCUGGGAGGCGAAUCUGCAGGCGGCGGCUGGGUCCUGGCUGGGUCCUGGCCGCAGGCAGCGGACAGAGGGGGUCGGCGGACACGCGAGCGAGCGCACUCACCAGAACCAUUCGCUCCCGAAACUGGGCACCGAGAACACGCCCCAGUGGAUGAAGAUGCCGAACUUGGCCUGGUCGAACCACGCGGGCAGC